This is a long non-coding RNA of Heterocephalus glaber (naked mole-rat), 1121 nucleotides long. RefSeq lists it as uncharacterized. NCBI's taxonomy places the organism in Eukaryota, Metazoa, Chordata, Mammalia, Rodentia, Bathyergidae. The record is from RefSeq and is a predicted model, not a curated record.
AGUUGCCACGGUUGCAGCGGUGGACAAAGCGGGAGCAUUCCAGGAACAAGGCUGCUCUGGCCACUACCGGGGCUUCCUGAGGAGGGUUGGUAAGGAAAGAAGAAUGUGGGAUUCAUGAAGAAUAUGUUUAAAUCACUGCUAAGGAGCACCACUAGCUUACCUCUUACGGCUCAGUGCAAUCUGAAGAAGCAGCGAAAAAUGGAGACAUGACAUAAUGGAUAGGGAUGGAUUCACAUCACAGAGACAAACAGCACAAAUGGAGAGAAAUGAAGCAGAAGAGAGCUGCAUGGCUGGAAAGAACCACAGAAUAUCAGAGGCAAAGUUACAAGUGAACAUCUAAAAACUUGACACUACUGGCAUACCACAAAAAUGCUGCUGGUGGUCCUGAAAAAAAAAAGUAGGAAUAUCAAAAUCUCUUCUUUCUUGUUAGCCUGCCUCCCUAGACACUAUAAUGACACAAAACUGUUUCUAUUCCUAAUUUCAUUGCUUACAGAGAAGCAAGAAUAAAUUUUAACUGAGAUGGCAAAUUUUAACUGAGAUAGCAAAUUUUAAGUUCAACUGUAUUUAAUUUUAAAAAGUGAAAAUCAAAGAUAGUCAAAUAUCAACAAUUUUGUGUAGCUCACUUAUUCCUAUAUAAGGUGUCUGUUGCAAUGGUUACAGAAUUGUCGAGUUAAAAUUACAGGACGUCAUGAGAAUGUCAUUAUACUGUGUUUCUCUUACAUUCUACAACUGGAAACCUUCAAACGUCCAACUACUUUCUUUGACUGCCUUUGCCAUUUUCCCCUGAAUUUUAUAGGAUUGUUAUGUAUAUUGAAUGCUUCCUUUAUGAAAGCAAAGUUGUGAAUUGGAAUAUUAAUCCAAACAGCUGUGGUUUCUUUUGUCUGGGGACCUAGAAAAUACUGUUACCAAGAUACGAUGGUUAAUUGAAUGUUAUAAUUGCAACCUAUUCCUUUCCCUGAGGGACUAUAUCUAAGCUUAUAAUGUGAGAAGAAUCCUUGAGCGAUCCUGAAAACUCAUAUAGCACUGGACAAGAACUAACUGUUCUAAAAGACUAACUAUUCUAUGUGGGCCCCAGAGGAAUUACAUAAUUUUUAUUGCCUUACAAUAAAAUAUUGCAAGCA